GUGGGGAAUAUUCCGCAAUGGACGAAAGUCUGACGGAGCAACGCCGCGUGAGUGAUGAAGGUUUUCGGACUGUAAAGCUCUGUUGUUUAGGACGAAAGUGCCUGUUGCGAAUAGUUACAGGUAUUGACGGUACUGAACGAGGAAGCCACGGCUAACUACGUGCCAGCAGCCGCGGUAAUACGUAGGUGGCAAGCGUUGUCCGGAAUUAUUGGGCGUAAAGAGCAUGUAGGCGGGAAUCUAAGUCUGUUGUGAAAAUGCGGGGCUCAACCCCGUAGUGCGAUGGAAACUGGGUUUCUUGAGUGCAGGAGAGGAAAGGGGAAUUCCCAGUGUAGCGGUGAAAUGCGUAGAUAUUGGGAGGAACACCAGUGGCGAAGGCGCCUUUCUGGACUGUGUCUGACGCUGAGAUGCGAAAGCCAGGGUAGCGAACGGGAUUAGAAACCCCAGUAGUCC
This 450-nucleotide ribosomal RNA is filed under the name uncultured bacterium. RNAcentral describes it as "partial 16S ribosomal RNA". It matches the Rfam family "Bacterial small subunit ribosomal RNA", at positions 354 to 796 of the family's 1533-position model. The record is from RNAcentral.